Molecule: long non-coding RNA, 2454 nt
Organism: Equus caballus (horse)
Lineage: Eukaryota; Metazoa; Chordata; Mammalia; Perissodactyla; Equidae
Source: Ensembl
UGUUAAUAUAUUGCCUAUAUUGAACCAUCUUUGCAAUCCUGGAACACUCCACUUGGCUGUGGUUUACUAUUCUGUAAAUACGCUGUCAGAAUCUCGCUGCCCCUGUUCAGGAUGUUUAUAUCAACGUUCCUAGGUUAGGGUGAUCUGUAGAUUAUUUUUGUGCUGUCUUUAUCUGGUUUUGGUAACAAUGGUGUGAAACCCAAAUAUCUUCACAGUCUCUGCAAUGGCAGCUCCCCCGGCCCACCAACUCCUAACUCCCUGGUUUGAUAAAGGAACGUCCGUGGGGGGCAGGUGUGACUUCUUUAGUGGUCAGAACAGGAUAUUAACCACAUAUAAAGUAAUUUACAUAUUCUUGUAAUUUGCCAAUCUCUGAAUUCACUAUCCUUUUGAUGUGGGCUCGGCGAGUCAAGGAGUCGAAAGAAAGAUUUCUUGGACUCUCAAGGUCUGGCAGUAGUGCUCCUUUAUUCAGAGAAUAGCAUGGGGACAGGACCCAGGGGCAGUAAGAGCUGCAUGCAUGGGGACAGGACCCAGGGGCAGUAAGAGCUGCAUGCAUGGGGACAGGACCCAGGGGCAGUAAGAGCUGCAUGCAUGGGGACAGGACCCAGGGGCAGUAAGAGCUGCAGGCAUGGGGACAGGACCCAGGGGCAGUAAGAGCUGCAUGCAUGGGGACAGGACCCACGGGCAGUAAGAGCUGCAGGCAUGGGGACAGGGCCCAUGAGCAGUGAGGGGCUGCAAUGUGUUGAGGGUUAGGGCUAAAUUUAUAAGGCUUGGGUACAUGACUUAUUUUUACCAGACAAAGGAAAGAUGAUGUAAAAAGUCAUUAAAUGGAAUCAGUGCAGGUGGGGUCUGGUUAUUGUGUGGUCGUAUAACUUUAGAUAUGUAUUGGGUCGUAUAGAUCAGCAUGUAGGACAGGACACCGUGGGCUUCUCUACCUGGGGCAGCCUUGAUCCACAUCACUUUCACAAACAUUUUUGCCAACACAUUGCUUCCACUUUCUUCUGGAGGGAGAGAAUAGUAAUAAACCCACAUGAGGCCCAAAAUGUUCCAUCCUUGCUUAGCAAUAGUCAUUGGCCUUGGGGUCGGAGAAUGCUGGGUCGUGCAUCUGGCAAAGGAACUGUCUGAUUUGCUCUCUAAAUGUGUACGUGGGGAUUGUGCAAACCAACCCCCUCACUGAACACGCUUACCACCCUCUAGCUCAGCCCAUGCCUUCUCCAAGCACGGCUUUCCCCUGGGUGUUAGCAGCCCAGCAGGAAGAGAAACACUCCUAGUGGGGAAGUGGGCUCAUCAACUGUUGGCAGCAACGGAGACUUCGAGCAAGAUGCAAACUGAGAGCGUGGGACCCACACGCUCUGCACGCUCAGUCCAGGCUGCUUCUAAGAACAAACAUGAUCUAAGGCCUUCAGGCCAGCAUUCAGAGCCAUCUCAUCUCCAGAAGAGCAGGAAGUUUCUCUGCAUCUCUGGACACUCGUGGAUGCUACAGUCCCGAUUCCACCCACCAGCUCACCCUGCCAAAAGAAUGGACCGCCCAGUGUAAGACCCCAUCCUCCUGGAGAUGCCAACAGGCAGAGGAAGAGAAGCCAUCCAAACCCGCUCUUUCUGAUGGAUUCGCCAACCCUGUUUAUUUACAUGGAACAGCAAGAGGUCAAUGAGAGAAGCCACAGGUCUGGGACUCCGAUUUCUCAAACUCACGUGCUGGAAUUUGCAUGUUUAUUCCAAACCCACACUCCUUCUGGCCUUCUUCCCCUUUGACUGCACUCUCAUCUCCACCCUCCACGUUGCAAGGUCUUUUGCAUCAGCCUGGGUGGGUCCCAGAGCUGAUUUCUCCCUUGCCCAGCUCAGUGUGUCCAUCUCCCUCCUUGUGGCCUGUGCCCUUAUAGGGUGGCAUGUGGUGUGGGGUCAGUCCUAAUGUCUGUUUUGGUUUCCAUGCUCUCUUGCCUUUGUAGUAGAUUGCUUUGGCCAUUCUCCUUCCGUGAUCCAAAGGAUGCAAAGUAUCCAACAUUAAUUUUCUGCUGUAUCUUAAGUCAGUGUUCAAAUGAGCUGAGCUUUCCUUCCACUGUGCAUUGCUGUUUUGUUCUGGUUGGGGGGCAGGCCUAUUUUAUUUAAAAUGGUGCAUUCAUUUUAAAAUACGAGUUGAAUUUGACUAUACUAAUAUAGUUAAUGGUCAGUUUUUUAAUCAAUAUUUUCCUCACUGAUAGAUUCACCCUGACUGAAUCCUCAGGCUGGUGACGGGGAGGAAAGCCCUUUUAUAACAAGAUCCUGAGCCAACGUCAUGGGGCCAGCCAGCUUGGGAGGAUUUUGACCAAAGGCCUGGACUUCUCAAUUUAUGAAAUCAGACCAGGAGCUUGGGUUCAUUCCAAGUUCUCCUCCGCCCGUGACCUUGGCCUUCUUUCUGUGGCUAUCCAACUAGACAGUCCCUUGGCCCUCCCCCAACAGAAAAUUGGCAUCAUGCAAAGC